Molecule: long non-coding RNA, 594 nt
Organism: Lemur catta (Ring-tailed lemur)
Lineage: Eukaryota; Metazoa; Chordata; Mammalia; Primates; Lemuridae
Exons: 6
Source: RefSeq, a predicted model, not a curated record
AAAGAGCCUCACCUGAAAGGUCUUGUAGAAGAGACAAGGGUACAGAUUCUGGAAUUGGAUAAUCCCCACCCCACCACCUUCUAGCUGGUCGUCUUAGAGAAGACAAGAUAAACGACACCCCACCACAGAUCGUGCCCAAGGACCCACUGAGCAGCCUACUCCCCUCAUCCCACCUGCACCCUCAUAAUGGUUGCCAGAUUCGGCUGUGUGAUUUGUAUCCUGCAAUAAAAUGCACAGACCACAAGUUUGCCUUUCUGCACCCACUGUUCCACCAGCAUCGUGCACAAAACAAUGCCCAUCAUUGUCUCCCGGGAGCUUUGUGCAGACCAGAAGUGACAAAAGGGAGUAACUUCAAACAAAUCAACAGAAUGUAAUUACAGGCUUCUGCUGCCAGAUCCUUCCUGCUCAGCUUCUUCCCAGAACACUGGCCUGGGCCACCGAGCAUCCCAUCUUCUCUCUGGAAUGGAAAAGCGUAUUUCUGGAAUUGGACAGACUCAUUUUGCCAAGGAACUAUUUUCCACCAACAAAUCAAAAAUUAGUUACAGUAUAAUUCCAUCAGGACACUUAUCCUUGGUGGCUGGAGGAGAGGAGGAG